UGUGAGUUUUUUUUUAGAGAGAGAAACUAGAGAGAGGAAGAAAAAAAUUAGGUUUUCUAUGCAUUUUCCGGCGCAGAGGAAAAAGUUUGAGGUUUGUUGAACUUUUAGUCCUGUUUAGUCUCGACGCUUUGCUUCUCGGAUUUCGUUUUUGGUCCUCCUGUAGUUUUCUGAAAAUUCGUAUUACAUGAGUUGUGGUUCUGAUUGAUGGAUGAGAUUUGGGAAAGAGCGGUGGAGACGGCGUUAGAUGGCGAGAGAAACUUUGGUUCUGUUAGAACCCUAACGUUGGACGGAGCGGUGAAGUGUAUUCAUGGUAAGUUGGCUCCCCCGUCGAUUUUCGAAAGGUUUCAGAAUUUAGAGCACCUGUCAAUUGCAAAUACUGGUGUUACAUCGCUUGAACAGUUUCCUCGGCUUCGGAAUCUUCAGAAGUUGAAUUUAUCGGACAAUAGAAUCGCUGGAGGCCUUGAGUUCCUUGUAGAAGCUGGUUUAAAUUCUCUUAGGGACCUUGAUUUGUCUAAUAACAGGAUUCAGGAUAUCGAUGAUCUUCAGCCUUUGGCUGAACUCAGGCUUGUGUCGCUUGAUCUAUAUGAGUGUCCCGUGACGAGGGUUAAGGAUUAUCGAUCUAGGGUUUUUGGUUUGAUUAGGUCGUUGAAGUAUUUAGAUAAGAUGGAUGCAGAGGGUACUGAGAGGCCUGAAUCGGAUGAUGAGGAGGAAGAAGAAGAGGAGGAUGAAGAGGAUGAUCCAGGGAGCGGGGAAGUUGAUGGAGAGGAACAUCCAUUUAGGCUGAACAAUGGACAUACGGUUGAGAGUGAAGGUGUGGUAGAUGUGGAUGAGGAAGAGAGUGAUGCUGAUGAGGAGGAGACAGAGAUAACUAGAGUGAUUAAUGGGUCUAAAGGGGAUGGUUCCAGUCACUCAAAUGGCUUUAGAGUAGAGGCAGCUUCUGAUGGAGAGGAUGAUGAUGAUGAUGAGGAUGAUGAAGAUGAGGAUUUUGUGGAGGAGAUAGAUGAAGAGGGAGAUGAAGAUGAUGUUGUUGAGGUUCAUGAGAUAGAAGACAGUGAUGAGGAUGAAGAUGGUGUGGAGGAGGACGACGAUGACGACGAUGAUGAUGAUGACGACGAUGAGGAUGAAGAGGAAGUUGAUAAUGAUGAUGGGGAUUUUGCAGAGCCUGCAAGUACGGGGAGGUUGAAUAGCACAGAAGGGGAAAUUGAUGGGCAUGAGCAUGGAGAAGAUGAUGCAGACGAGGAUGAUGAUGGGGAGACAGGAGAGGAGGAGCUAGGUGUCGAGGAGGAUGGUGAUUUCGAAGAUGAUGAGGAUGCUGAAGAUGAGGAAGAAGAUAAUGGCAAUGGCUACCUUGUUCAACCAGUUGGCCAUGUUGUAGUAGAUGAUGCUGAAGGCAGUGAUGUGGAGGCCGUCAAUGGGGAUGAAGAUGAUGCUGAGUUGGAGGAAGAUGUUGAAGAUGAAGAGGAUGAUUUUGGUGAAGUUCAGGAGCAGCCACCAUCGUCCACUCAGAAGAGGAAGAGAGAUGAUGAGGAUGAUGAUGGUGGGGAUGAUGAUGAUGAUGAUGAUGAUGAUGAAGAGUAUUCAAAGUCAUCGAAGCACCGUUAGCAACAGAAUCUGUGGUGGGUUUGAUUUAAAGAGAUGAUGCACUUGAUAAAUAGAUUUGUUUUUUCAGACUGGUGGUAUCUUUUUCUUGGAUAGCAAGUAACACUUGUUUUGGUGGGAAAUUCAGGUGUAGGAUGAUGAUGGGAGAUAUACAAAUGUUCAAAAGGUGGUUAGUAAAUAUUGGCGCUCUUGGUUUGGCUGCAGUAGCCGUUACCUAAUUAUUCAAAAGAGUGAAGAGGGAAGAAAACCAAUCGGAGUUUGGAGGGGAAUUUGAAUUGAUGGGGGAAAAAAGCGAAUGGCAAAUCUUUGGCUAGUUCUACAAUAGUAGUAGGUGGUGCCAGAUGUCAGCUAUUUGUGUCUCAAUUGAUUGCCUUGGUCUACAACCAUGUGAACGAUGACAUGAUAUGAUAACCCACCGGCUCAGAAUAUAUCUAUCUAUUUAGUAAAGAAAAAAAGCAAUGGUCCCAAUCCAACAAAAAAGGAAAAAAAAUUCCCUUUGCUUAUUUUGUGCUAAAAUAUAUUUAUUACCCACUUGCAUAGAGAUGGGAUUGGUGCACUCAAGAGUUGGUAUCGUCGUGGUAAAGAGUAUUAAUGGGCUUGCUGGUGGAAGCCCAUAAGUUUGGAGGGAAGAGGUCCUGCAAUGAAAGUUGAUUAUGGAGAGAGCAGGCCAACUUGGGCCGUGGGUAUAAAUAGCAGGCUUCGAUGUGGGUUUUUCGUCCAAAUUGUGAUCCAAGAUGUCAGUUCGCGUGAGCUUCACAAGCCGCAAUAGCUUUGCCGGUUGCGAAUUGCGGCCUAAUGGGAUUCCACUUUGUUUAACUGUUCAUACAAUUUUUAAAGCAAAAUUUUACAAAAGAGAUGUAGCGCGUGUGCGCUUGGAUUUGUAUUAAAUUUCUUAAAUUUACAACUAUUCAAUUCAAAUAUUGUACAAUACAAA
RNA transcript from Solanum dulcamara, 2533 nucleotides. It is a transcript of the gene named acidic leucine-rich nuclear phosphoprotein 32-related protein, with no coding region annotated. NCBI's taxonomy places the organism in Eukaryota, Viridiplantae, Streptophyta, Magnoliopsida, Solanales, Solanaceae. The transcript is spliced from 3 exons. The record is from RefSeq and is a predicted model, not a curated record.